This 105-nucleotide non-coding RNA is filed under the name Thermobrachium celere. Its description in RNAcentral is "SAM-I sequence". It matches the Rfam family "SAM riboswitch aptamer (S box leader)". Rfam says of the family: The SAM riboswitch is found upstream of a number of genes which code for proteins involved in methionine or cysteine biosynthesis in Gram-positive bacteria. Lineage: Bacteria; Bacillati; Bacillota; Clostridia; Eubacteriales; Clostridiaceae. The record is from RNAcentral. RNAcentral also lists the same sequence under 1 other name.
CUCUUAUCAAGAGAGGUGGAGGGACUGGCCCGAUGAAACCCGGCAACCGGUGCUUAUGCACAAUGGUGCCAAUUCCUGCAGAAUUUUAAUUCUGGCAGAUGAGAG